AGGUGAGACAUUGUGUUUUGUGUAAUCGCCGUUGGAAAUUUUAAAUUCAAGUUGUGGUACUUGGCCAGGAAAACUAGUAAGACAGCCUCAAGAGCAGGCAAAAACUCAUUCUUUCAACUUGGUAUUAGUUUAUAACAAGACAUACUCAUACAACAAAGACUUUCUAAAAUUAUAUUUUAUCAUUAAAAUUCUCUAAAGCUUUCAUAAAACAUUGUUGUUUCUCCCCAGAUAACAAAGAUAUCUAGAAAAGUGAUUCAUCAUGGUAUGAAAGCACAUGAGAGACAGAGAUUUCAGCUGAAGACAUACCUUAAAAUGUUCUAAAUGGUUCAGCACAAGUCUUUCUAGUCUCUUCUCAAAGGCAGGAAAUGAUGAUAUUUGGGUCUCUACUGAUAAUAUUUUAGCACAUGACAGAAAAUGGCAACAGUCUUAGAUUUGGGGAGCAUUAUUCAUGUGCAUAAUGCAGUCUGACACUCCCUUCAAUGCAAGACCUUCUUCCAGGCUUGGUUUUGUUGCUUUUCCUACACCAAGAAUGAUCACUCUCUUCUAUUGGAGCACCUAUUAGGAGAGAGCAGAGUCCAUUAGCCACUGAAGAGCGUAUCACCGUUUCUGUCACCCCCUGUGGGCUUCCUGUUAACUUGACUUCUGUGGAAGAUUCAGUUUGAUAUCUCCUGGUGUCACGACUGGCAUUAAUUCAUAUUGCCGUAAUGAAAAAUUCUAAGGAGCAAAUAAAGGGGAUUUAGUCUUUGAAGCUGUGUUAUACGCUAACUGCAGCCACACUGUGGAAGUCACACCUCCCCAGAAAAAUAUACAGACUCGGGUCAUUAGGACAUCUUCCUGAAAUCUGACAUUCUAGGAGACGAGUCCAUCAAAUACAGCGUUCUACUCAGGCUAUGUCCACGGCAAGAAUUAGAUUUAUUUUCGCAGAAUUUGACUUUCUUGAGGUAUCAUUUACGUACAAUGAAACGCGCCUACUGUAAGUGUACGCUUAGAUGAGAUUUGAGAGAUGUGUACAUCUGUGGAUCCACCAUCACUACAAUCAAGUUGUGGGAUAUUUACAUCAUCCCCGGAAUUGCCUUUGUUUUCCUUUUCAGCCCAUUUCCUCCCUUGGAGGCCCUGGCAAGCCCUUCUUUACUUUAUACCAUAAUAGACUACUUUUUCUUGUUUUAAAAUUUGAUAUCAAUUCAUUUAUAUAGUAUGUAUUUUUUGGUGUCUCUGUUCUUUUACACAGCAUCAUAUUUUUGAGAGCCAUCCAUGUUGCAGUAUCCAUAGUUUAUUCCUUUUUAUUGCUGAGUAGUUUCCAUUUUAUGGCAUAUCACGAUCUGUUUGUCCAUAUACAUUUAAGUUGUGCCCACCUUUUGGCCACUAAGAGU
Long non-coding RNA from Neogale vison (American mink), 1370 nucleotides. RefSeq lists it as uncharacterized. Lineage: Eukaryota; Metazoa; Chordata; Mammalia; Carnivora; Mustelidae. The transcript is spliced from 7 exons. The record is from RefSeq and is a predicted model, not a curated record.